This is a long non-coding RNA of Salvia hispanica, 1150 nucleotides long. RefSeq lists it as uncharacterized. The record is from RefSeq and is a predicted model, not a curated record. Lineage: Eukaryota; Viridiplantae; Streptophyta; Magnoliopsida; Lamiales; Lamiaceae.
UCAGAUCUACUGUUUGAGUUUCUUGAUCAUUGAAGGUUACAUCACUCUGCAAAGGACAACUUAGAAUGCUUAUUGUUAUCUCAAGCAUAAAUGGAGAACCAUUGUCGAUCAAUGUCAGGAUAAAUGGAUAAAUCACGGGGCCAAUCUUUUGCAGCAACUUUGAGUUUGAGACUCUGCAAUCGGACCAACUGGACGUAUUGAGAUGAAAUCAGUUUAUAGUUGAGAAACAAAAGAAAAGGAACCAAGGAACCAGUAGGAGCGGAGAGAUUUCAGAAAAAAGGGAGUCUUUAUCAAAAUUGCAUCUAGUCUGGUCGAAUUAUUUUUUAUUGAAUACAUCAUGGAAGCAGCUCCUGUCCCUUGGCAAUCAAUAUUUUGAUCACUUAUUUGUAACUUGUAAGUAAGUAUUCUUGUUCAAUGUAUUGCGAUUGGUUGUAGAAUUACAAGUGUUAUCUGAGCAAUACUGGGCUUAAUAUCAUAACAUGAUGGCUAUUGUGAGGUAAAUGUUGAAGAAAGGAUUGGAAGAGUUAUAUAAACGUGCCUCCAAAACAGAGGCUGGAGCUAUGAUUAGGAAAAUGAGAUUCUAUUGCAACUUUGCAAGGCCUACCUAUUUCUCUUAUCCACACAUGGAAAUGUUCUUCACUUCCACUUUCCUUGCACAUCACACCAGAUUGGUAUUGGUUCAGAUGGAUUCAUGAUGCCAAUGGCAAUGCUAUGCCAACCACACUAAUCACGAGGCGGUCAAUAAGUUGUAUCAUUCACAUGUUUCCAUUUACUUAAUUACCUCCUAACUCUCAUCAGUUUUUUUCAGGUUUUGUUCUUCAGAACAUAAUCUCAGUUCUUGUGUUUCUAUCUCCAAUGAAGACAUUUGCUCGGAUUUUGAAACGUAAGACGACAGAGGAAUUCGAGAGCCUUCCGUACAUUUGUACACUGCUGAAUUCAUCUCUGUUGACAUACUACGGGAUCAUUAAACCCGAUGCUUACUUGGUAGCGACUGUCAAUGGCUUCGGAGUGGUUGUGGAGCUCAUAUACGUUGCUUUGUUCUUUUAUUUUGCUUCUCUUCCAUCCAUAAAGAUACUAUAUUACUAACCUCAUUUUCAAUUUUUCAUUCAUUAUUGAUGCAUUCAAUUAAUUACCCAAGUAUAAUAUAUAU